This 512-nucleotide ribosomal RNA is filed under the name uncultured bacterium. RNAcentral's name for it is "partial 16S ribosomal RNA". It matches the Rfam family "Bacterial small subunit ribosomal RNA", at positions 28 to 523 of the family's 1533-position model. The record is from RNAcentral.
GACGAACGCUGGCGGCGUGCCUAAUACAUGCAAGUCGAGCGAAUCAAUAGGAGCUUGCUCCUGUUGAUUAGCGGCGGACGGGUGAGUAACACGUGGGCAACCUGCCUGUAAGACUGGGAUAACACCGGGAAACCGGUGCUAAUACCGGAUAAUCCUUUUCCUCUCAUGAGGGAAAGCUGAAAGUCGGUUUCGGCUGACACUUACAGAUGGGCCCGCGGAGCAUUAGCUAGUUGGUGAGGUAACGGCUCACCAAGGCGACGAUGCGUAGCCGACCUGAGAGGGUGAACGGCCACACGGGGACUGAGACACGGCCCAGACUCCUACGGGAGGCAGCAGUAGGGAAGCUUCCACAAUGGACGAAAGUCUGAUGGAGCAACGCCGCGUGAGCGAUGAAGGCCUUCGGGUCGUAAAGCUCUGUUGUUAGGGAAGAACAAGUACCGGAGUAACUGCCGGUACCUUGACGGUACCUAACCAGAAAGCCACGGCUAACUACGUGCCAGCAGCCGCCGUAA